UGAUAAACUGGAGGAAGGUGGGGAUGACGUCAAGUCAUCAUGGCCCUUACGACCAGGGCUACACACGUGCUACAAUGGCGCAUACAAAGAGAAGCGACCUCGCGAGAGCAAGCGGACCUCAUAAAGUGCGUCGUAGUCCGGAUUGGAGUCUGCAACUCGACUCCAUGAAGUCGGAAUCGCUAGUAAUCGUGGAUCAGAAUGCCACGGUGAAUACGUUCCCGGGCCUUGUACACACCGCCCGUCACACCAUGGGAGUGGGUUGCAAAAGAAGUAGGUAGCUUAACCUU
Molecule: ribosomal RNA, 287 nt
Filed under: Escherichia coli
Lineage: Bacteria; Pseudomonadati; Pseudomonadota; Gammaproteobacteria; Enterobacterales; Enterobacteriaceae
Description: partial 16S ribosomal RNA
Rfam family: Bacterial small subunit ribosomal RNA
Source: RNAcentral